GGAACAAAAAAAAGCUCCCUCAUCCUCAUCCCUUAUAUAUGCUGCAGCUGGGAAAUAGGUGGGGGCAGGUUUCUUUCUGAUGAGAAAGGGAAAGAUCUGCAGCUGCCUGCCGAAGCCACGCGUUUGGUCGCAGUUAGGCUGGAGCCCUGGCCCAGGGAAGCGUAUUAGAAGCAAACCCCUUAUUCUGAGUUAACUUUUUUCACGUGGUGAGUUACACAACCAGAGUGAGUGCCGCCUGCAGAGGGAGACGGAGAGACGAGUUAGUGGUGGCUGCUCGGAAUCCCUGUGUGUGCAGAAAUACGUGUAUAGAUAAAGACAGCAAAUCCACUUGAGAGAGAGGUAACUGGGACUGCACCAUCAUCAGAUUGAUUUCCAUUCCAGCACACAGGACGUAUUUACCUCCAGUCUGAGCUUCUAGGCUCCACCUGAUCUGUGCUCCGCAUGUGUAAAAGUACACGCAAGGCUUGGAGAGAGCUGCUGUUCCUGAGCCUCCAGAUGUGGAAUGCUGCUUUUCCUCUGCUGUCUGGCAAUUAUUGGCUUUGUGAGGUUGUCUCACAGCUGGCAGGAUAUCAGCUGCUCAAAUGUCACCUCCUCCUGUGCAGGAUGAAGCCAGCACUGCCUGCUGCCACAAGUAGGAGCUACUGUCCUGCUCAUACAGUCAAAAGCUUGUUCUGGCUGUCUACAGCCUCUCUGGAUCUGUGAUGGGACUGGAAGCAGUGUCCUUGCCUCUGGAUAUGGAGGAGCCUGUCUGGGAGGCGCCUACAGCAGGUUGCUUUUAUCCUUGUCCUGCGGGUGUUUAACCUGUUAGGUGUCAAGAACUGGUGUCUUAUGAUAGGAUGGGGGGCAGCUGGAACACAAGAAGUUCCACCUCAACAUGAGGAGAAACUUCUUUACUGUGAAGGUGCUGGAGGCCUGGAGCAGGCUGCCCAGAGAGGCUGUGGAGUCAUCUCCUCUGGAGACUUUCAGGACCCAUCUGGACAUGUUGCUGUGUGACCUGCUGUGGAUGACCCUGCUUUGGCAGGGGGUUUGGAGUCAAUGAUCUUUCGAGGUCCCUUUCAACACCUCUCAUUCUAUGAUUUGAGGCCUGAAAACUUGCAGAAAAUGGACAGAGUAAUUAACUUUAUUACACAGAAAAGAUGGGAGAAAAAAUCAAACUAUAUCCUAAAAGGAAAAUAUUUCUGUGCAGUGUCUGUCCUAACAGACAUCUCCAGGUGCUCUGUGGAGCUGGUCCAUGGCAAUACGGGCCACCAACAGAUCUGCCUGUGUGGGAGGAGAGGUUGGAGGAGACUAAUGAGCAAACUUUUCCUCCAUGAGCUGGGCAGGCUUCAGGCCUGGUGGCUCAGCUACCUGCUUGGCUCUCAGGCCACCUGCCCAGUCCUGACAGAGUGUGUGCUUCCCACCUGUCUCUGCUGGAAGAGGAAAUAAGUACAUCAUGCAAGGAGCACACAGAAAAGGUUGAUCUCAAAUCAUCAAUCACUAUGUUUUUGUAGAAGCCCCAGCCCAGCGGUUACAUCCCAGUGCAUUCCCAGCAGGUCAGGGAAGCCUCUCACCUCCCCACACAGCAGAGACAGCAACUCAGAUGCCCACAUCUGUUGGGACAGUGCUGCUCUUGGACCCAUGGUCCAAACUUUCCAGGGUUUAUGGAAACACGUGGUUACUUUUGCUUUGACACAGUGAGGACAACAUCAGCCUCAAUUAUUUCUUGCCUUGUUGCACAAUGUGGAGGUAUCCCCAGUUCACUGGCACUGGGACUUUCCCUCUUCCACUUCCCCCUUGUCCUCAUCCUCACAGGAAAACUGGCAGAGCGAGUCCUCUUAGGCUGAAACUGCCCCACCACUUUGGUGUGCUUCCACCAGAACAAGGUCCUCAUUAGCACUUAAUGACCAUCUUUCUCCCUGCUUCGCUGAUGUGCAUGUGCGUGACACAGAUCUGUCAGCAGCUGAUGACACACAGGAGUUAUUGAUAUGGUGUGGUGGUAACCCCAGCUCAGGCACACCCAGGGACGUGCUCCUCCACUCACUGCAGUUGUGCAGGUCACAUAGUCAUGGGAACUAGAUGAUCUUUAAAGUCCCUUCCAACCCAAACCAUUCUAUGAUUCAUCAGAAUCCAAUGGCUUUGUAUAAUUUACCAAAAAUCUGGUUUUUUUUCAUCUAACUCAUUAGCCCUCUUGCCUUGGACCUGUGGCUCAGUCCUCCUGAGUUCUUGAGUCACAGGUUGCUCAGAAACAAUUGCACAGAUACAGGGACACAUAUCCCUUGCUCUUGCUUUUCUUGGGUUCUGCACUAAAGCCAAAACUAUGAUUCUUUAAUCGUGCUUUCCUUAAUUAUUUUCAGCAUUCUUCUCUUUGCUGUCUGUUGUGGUUUGAGGGGUUCCAGGUUAUCUCAGAUUUCCCAAGCAAACUACAGAGACCGAGAUCCAUGCCAGGGGACGAACCGGUCACCCCCGGAUAUUGUAAUUAAGUUAUUCAAUCCCAGAAACCCUGCAAACACUUUAGAAGUCAGCAGCAAGGUCAAUUUGUACUCUUUUCUCCCUGCCUUUCCAACUCUCCAGAGGGAUUCUUAUCUGGUAACUAGGUAACUACAUAGGAGGACCCUGUAGUAGGCCACGGUCUUCAAGGCCAUGGGCUGCCACAGUAAAUCUGGCCUGCUCGUGGGAGACAAUGGGGGAUGGGAGAAGAUGUACACUGGGGUUUUGGUGGUUUAAGUUUGCCUGGGGGAAAGGUUUUGGGGGAAUUCUCAUGUAUCCUUUAUCUGUAUUAGGUGUUAAGGAUUCAUGUAUGCCAUAGCUUUUUCCUAAACAUCUUUAAAUGCAACCUUUCUGUAUUUUCAUCUCCAAUUCAGUGAGAGUCUUAUUAUUUCACUGCCCUUUCUUCUCUAGGAAUAGAGUAAAGUGAAAUAAUCUCAGUCUGUCACGCUCUUACACAGAAACCUCAGCAGAAUAAUGGUGGAGAAUGUGGGCAGAACCCAGCACAGCAUCAGAUAAAUUGCCUUUUUUUCCCAUGUGAUUAAAAGCAGGUGACAGGAACUUGUGUCCCAGCUGACCGUGUCUGCUUCUGUAGCAUCUGUCACUGCAGUGUAUCAACCACUCAGGCUGGCAGAAUGAGACCAUAGAUUUACUUUUUCACGUAAACAGAUGGAUUUUUACCAAUUUUUCUCUUUUACAUUGUUUUUUUACCUUUUCCUCUGUCCUGGGCACUCCAUUCCACAGCCAGAAAACUCACCUGACUCUGCAGUUGCGCUUUGGAAAGCACCACGUCAAAGAGCGUAGUGCUGAUCAGCAAAUCUCCUCCUUGACAUAUAUUUAGACUGAGACAUGCUGAUUUUUUACUUUGGUGUCACAAACAAGCAUCUGCUGCCGUGUUUGAUCUCCAGAGCAAGUGCCUGAUUACAGGCAGAGCAAAACCAAGCUGGAUUUUGUCCCACCUCAUUCUUGGUGACACCUUUGUAGGCCUGCUGAGGUUGGUGGUGUCACACAACACAAAGGCCGCGCUGUAAUUCGACUUUCUUUAUGGGUUGUGAUGCGAAGGUGGCAAGAAUUCAGCUCAGAUGCCAGCCUGGGUGCCAAAGUCUGACAGGAAAAGCCCUCGGGUGGUUUUUCACAUGGAACUGGGAUGUGCCUGGGUAAUGGGCAGCAGGCGCCUGCACAGCCCAAGCUGAGGUUAGCAGUGCUGGGUGAGCUUGGGCUUUGCAGUCCCAGGUAGAGAAACUUUGGGCACUGGCACAUUUGGCGUUUGCUGCAUCCAGAAUAAAGUAAAUGGAGCAGCUUUUGGAGCUCAUCUAAGUUUCACCUGCAGACAGAGCAGCAGCAGUUUGAUGAGGAGGGAGAUCUGCUGCUCUUGGUUUACAGUUUUAAAUGCUGUGGAAAGUUUAGUCUGCAAGAGGAUUAUUCCUUGAAGCAAUUUAAAAAUGAAUAAAAGGCAUUUCUGCUGACAGAAAUGUCCUCUAAAGGGGGUGUGUUGUCAGGAAGAAAGGAUUUUGCACCAUUUCCAUUUUUUAACUGUUUGGCAGAGAUUUAAACAGGUAUAGGAAAAAAAACUGCUUAGUGUGGAGCUGUGGGGUCCAUUUUCUUUGUAAGCACAGGGUUGGUAGUGCUGUGCUGUUACACCAGAUUGCUGCCCAGGAUGUUUUUGCUUCCAAUUUCCAGUGCCUACAAAUGCAUUUGGUCUCUGCUGUGUCAUCAUCUUGCAGUCAGAGUGCCCUUGGUCACCCAAAGCACCUGAGCUUUCAGCAUCUCCAUUCUGUAAUCCCACCUGAGGCUCACUCCAGCUGCCUCCCGGCAGUCACAGCCUGCAGAUGCUUGGUGCAUCCCUGCACUAGCAGUGGUGGAUAGUGGAGGACUGCAGCUGGCAAGCUGCAGUCUGCUAGCACAGUAAAGACCUUAAAGCUGCUGUUUGUGAAGAGCUAUGAUUAGUUGGACUGAGAUGCCACCACCUUAUCUAAAUGUUACCAUGUCUCCUUGCAAGUAUGGUACACCUUCCU
Molecule: long non-coding RNA, 4478 nt
Organism: Pogoniulus pusillus (Red-fronted tinkerbird)
Lineage: Eukaryota; Metazoa; Chordata; Aves; Piciformes; Lybiidae
Exons: 5
Source: RefSeq, a predicted model, not a curated record